UAUUCAUUCUUCAAGAUUUAGCUAAUGUGCUUCUUCCUCUGAGAUGGAGUUUUGCUCUGUCGCCCAGGCUGGAGUACAAUGGUUCCAUCUCUGCUCGCCUCGACCUCUGCUUCCUGGGUUCAAGCAAUUCUCCUGCCUCAGCCUCCCAAGUAGCUGGGAUUACAGACUAUGCAUGGAAAACAGAGUCCUGUGUUGCCAACAUUGGGAAAAUGUUCCUUCCGAGGUGCUCUGCAAGCCUUCUGUUUACCACGAACUUGCUUAAACACAUUCAAAAUUUCAUACUCAAGAUUUUUCUCAAAGCAGAGAAAAUCUGUUAGUAGCAGAAUUAGAAUUGUCAUGAAUGAUAUGUUGUUAUUAUAGUGUACAAUAUGAAGAUUUUUUCUUCUGAAAAUACCAUGUAAUACUUACCA
RNAcentral lists this long non-coding RNA (410 nucleotides) under Homo sapiens (human). Its description in RNAcentral is "HSALNT0323293". Lineage: Eukaryota; Metazoa; Chordata; Mammalia; Primates; Hominidae. The record is from RNAcentral.